This 400-nucleotide unclassified non-coding RNA is filed under the name Hevea brasiliensis (rubber tree). Lineage: Eukaryota; Viridiplantae; Streptophyta; Magnoliopsida; Malpighiales; Euphorbiaceae. The record is from RNAcentral.
AGAAGGCUUUGCCAACCCCAAGAAGCAUUCCCUCCAGUUGAAGCAUUCAAGAAUGAAGGAAGAGUAAGGGAAGUAUUUCCCCUUAAGAACCCGAGCAACAAGAGAAUUAGGUUCCUUAAGAUACACCAUCCCUGUUUCGCAAGGAGGGCUUGAUUAAAGCUAUUAAGAUCAUAAAACCCCAAACCUCCAAAAAAUUUACUUACAUUCAUACUCUGCCAAGAGACCCAAUGUUGCUUCCUUUCAUCCUUUCUUUGGCCAAACCAGAAGUUUGCCACUAAACUAUUAAUUUCCUAACAGAGAGAGAUAGGAAGUUUAAAACAUGCCAUAGCAUAUACUGGGAUGGCAGCUACCAUCGAUUUAAUUAACACUUCCUUCCCUCCUUGAGAUAACAAAUUUUUUU